GCGUAGACAGACAGCAGCCGGUCCUGCAGCCCUCACUCCCCGAGGAUCCAUUUGGCUCUGUGCCCUUCCUGGCCAACGCAGGCAAGAGCCGGUGUGCUGACAGCAGAGAAUCCAGUGGAGAACCCCAGUGUUUCUGUUCAAGACACCACCCCGCCACUGGCCAAAGAGCGCAAACCUGCAAAGAAAAGCAGCUCCACUGGUUCCCUGCCUCAAAAAGCCCGCGAGGACUCAGACAGUGAUUUUGAGUCUGAUCCUCCCUCUCCCAAAAGCAGUGAAGAUGAGGAGGUGGAAGAAGAGGAAGCUCUCAACAGCGAACAUGAAGACACCGAGCCUGAAAACCUGGGACAGAGGCCUCUGCUCAUGGACUCUGAAGACGAGAUAGAAGAAGAGGAGGACAAACACAGCUCAGACUCCGACUGUGACUCUAGAAAAGCGAAACUCUCAGAGGUCCCGCCUGCUGUUGAAUCUGGAGCCAGCGUGAUCACUCCCCCCAUUUCACCAAGCGCCUCCAUGACUGCCAAAAACCUAGUGGAUGUGUUUGGUGCUGUUCCUUUUGUUGGCAGCGGUCAGGCACCGGAGAGCUCUGAUAUUUUUGCCAAAGCCCCUUUCAGGCAGGCUAGCCAGGAGAACGCCUUAGAAGAGACUGACGUUUUCACCAAAGCUCCUUUCAGUAGAAACCUCUCCAGAUCCAGCAGGAGCGGCGAUGGACCCGGCGGCCAGACACCACCCAUUUCCCCCGACAGCGUGGAUGUAUUCGGAUUCUCACCUUUCCACAUCAUACCCACCUCCGGGACCCAGGAGGACGUUUUUGACCAAGCCUCUUUGGACGAAUCAGCGAGUCCUCAGCAGCAGAGGCAGAAGCAGCGCAGCCUUCAGAAACUCUCCUCACGGCAAAGGCGCACCAAACAGGAGGCCAGUAGCACCAACGGAAAGCGACACCACGGGACGCCAACCGGUGGCAGAAAGACCAACAAGCCUAGCUUCCGCACUCCUGAGCGGGUACGAAGGCACAAGAAAGUCGGCAGACGGGACUCUCAGAGCAGCAAUGAGUUCCUCAGCACAUCCGACUCCAAAGAGAACAUCAGUAUUUCCCUGGGCGAGGUGAUGGAGAAAGCAGUUGCUCUGCCCUCGGAGGAGGUUUCGCUGGAUCCUUUUGGAGCCAAGCCUUUCCAUCCGCAAGAUGGUAGUCGACACCAGAGCUUGGGAGAUGGAAAAAGUGAGAUCAACUCGAAUAACGGCAGGCCGAGGACCAGCUCGCUGCACAGUGUGUUUGAUGGAAACAAGAUGGAUGACUUUGGAGCUGUGCCUUUCACAGAACUGGUGGUCCAAAGCGGAGCUCCGCAAACCCCUCAGAUAGAUCUUGACCCAUUCGGAGCCGCACCUUUCCCCUCAAAGCAGUGAAUGUCUCGUCUUCCAACACACAAGAGACUGAACACAAACACACACCUACACAUGCAUUGCUACAUUAUGCAAAGUCCGAGCAGCCUUUGGAGAAGUCUUUAGUGGACGACAGUGAUGUGAUCUCUGUCUGUGCUGCCCAUUGGGAUGUAGGCCUUUCAAUUAGAUGUUCAACUUUUGUAGGUUUUUUUUUAAUUUUUUUUUUUUUUUAAGUAUUUUAAUAUCUAACUGGACAGCAGUAACAGUUUUUGUUUUCAUUUGGUGACUUAAACCUGUGGUUUAUGAGUGCUUU
This is a non-coding RNA of Danio rerio (zebrafish), 1690 nucleotides long. The record is from Ensembl. Lineage: Eukaryota; Metazoa; Chordata; Actinopteri; Cypriniformes; Danionidae.